CCUACGGGAGGCAGCAGUGGGGAAUAUUGGGCAAUGGGCGCAAGCCUGACCCAGCAACGCCGCGUGCAGGAAGAAGGCUUUCGGGUUGUAAACUUCUUUUCUCAGGGUCGAAGAAAGUGACGGUACCUGAGGAAUAAGCCACGGCUAACUACGUGCCAGCAGCCGCGGGAAUACGUAGGUGGCAAGCGUUAUCCGGAUUUAUUGGGUGUAAAGGGCGUGUAGGCGGGAGCGCAAGUCAGAUGUGAAAACUCAGGGCUCAACCCUGGGCCUGCAUUUGAAACUGUGUUUCUUGAGGGCUGGAGAGGCAAUCGGAAUUCCGGGUGUAGCGGUGAAAUGCGUAGAUAUACGGAGGAACACCAGUGGCGAAGGCGGAUUGCUGGACAGUAACUGACGCUGAGGCGCGAAAGCGUGGGGAGCAAACAGGAGUAGAUACCCCAGUAGUC
Molecule: ribosomal RNA, 443 nt
Filed under: uncultured bacterium
Lineage: Bacteria
Description: partial 16S ribosomal RNA
Rfam family: Bacterial small subunit ribosomal RNA
Source: RNAcentral